AUACGUAGGGAGCAAGCGUUAUCCGGAUUUAUUGGGCGUAAAGCGCGCGUAGGCGGCUUGUUAAGUCAGGUGUUAAAGGCAAGGGCUCAACCCCUGUUCGCACCUGAAACUGGCAGGCUUGAGUUUGGUAGAGGAAAACGGAAUUCCCAGUGUAGCGGUGAAAUGCGCAGAUAUUGGGAAGAACACCGGUGGCGAAGGCGGUUUUCUGGGCCACAACUGACGCUGAGGUGCGAAAGCUAGGGGAGCAAACAGGAUUAGAUACCCUGGUAGUCCUAGCCGUAAACGAUGGAUACUAGGUGUGGGGAGGCAUACUCUCCGUGCCGCAGCUAACGCAUUAAGUAUCCCGCCUGGGGAGUACGGCCGCAAGGCUAAAACUCAAAGGAAUUGACGGGG
RNAcentral lists this ribosomal RNA (393 nucleotides) under uncultured bacterium. RNAcentral's name for it is "partial 16S ribosomal RNA". It matches the Rfam family "Bacterial small subunit ribosomal RNA", at positions 523 to 918 of the family's 1533-position model. The record is from RNAcentral.